UGCAUUUGCUACAUGCCUCCUUAGUACGGGUUAAUUUGAAGUCAUUGAAUGCUCCAUUUCUAUUCACCUUUGACUCCACAUGAUAAAAGUUGUACUUUGAUGAUUAAAUUAUAUAUUGUUUUCAGUUUUUGGUUUUCAUUUAAUUAGAUAUAUUAUAGCGCAUCACAUGUGGCAUCAGUCUUUUUCCGCACACAUCAGUUUACAAACUAGAAUUAGCUGUGAUCCGCAUCCCCGAAUCUUAGGCAGAAUUGUUCCUGCUACAUUUGGUAGUGCUAUUUAGGUGUGGAAUUCUAAAGCAGCUUUUCUGGUUUGUAACUAAACUAAAUAAUUUAUAAGAAAUGGAGCAGACAUUUGAGUCAAUACUUGUUGUGAUUUGAUAUGACAGUCCAUAGCAGACCAGUUUUGAAUAGUUAUUUCUGGGG
RNAcentral lists this long non-coding RNA (422 nucleotides) under Mytilus galloprovincialis (Mediterranean mussel). The record is from RNAcentral. Lineage: Eukaryota; Metazoa; Mollusca; Bivalvia; Mytilida; Mytilidae.